RNAcentral lists this ribosomal RNA (533 nucleotides) under uncultured bacterium. Its description in RNAcentral is "bacterial SSU rRNA". It matches the Rfam family "Bacterial small subunit ribosomal RNA", at positions 539 to 1070 of the family's 1533-position model. The record is from RNAcentral.
CGUUGUCCGGAUUAUUGGGCGUAAAGAGCUUGUAGGCGGUUUGUCGCGUCUGCUGUGAAAGGCCGGAGCUUAACUCCGUGUAUUGCAGUGGGUACGGGCAGACUAGAGUGCAGUAGGGGAGACUGGAAUUCCUGGUGUAGCGGUGGAAUGCGCAGAUAUCAGGAGGAACACCGAUGGCGAAGGCAGGUCUCUGGGCUGUAACUGACGCUGAGAAGCGAAAGCAUGGGGAGCGAACAGGAUUAGAUACCCUGGUAGUCCAUGCCGUAAACGUUGGGCACUAGGUGUGGGGGACAUUCCACGUUUUCCGCGCCGUAGCUAACGCAUUAAGUGCCCCGCCUGGGGAGUACGGCCGCAAGGCUAAAACUCAAAGAAAUUGACGGGGGCCCGCACAAGCGGCGGAGCAUGCGGAUUAAUUCGAUGCAACGCGAAGAACCUUACCAAGGCUUGACAUAUACUGGACCGCAUCAGAGAUGGUGUUUCCCUUCGGGGCUGGUAUACAGGUGGUGCAUGGUUGUCGUCAGCUCGUGUCGUGA